GGGGAUUGAACUCAGGGACACUCGACCACUGAGCCACAUCCCAGCCCUAUUUUGUAUUUUAUUUAUAGACAGGGUCUCACUGAGUUGCUUAGUGCCUUGCCAUUGCUGAGGUUGGAUUUGAUCUCACGAUCCUCCUGCCUCAGCCUCCUGAGCCACUGUAAUUACAGGCUUGCGCCACUGUACCCAGCUUGGAGGGUUUUGAUAAUUGUUUUAUUCUCACUUAAAACCUUAAACUAGAAACAUUUCUUUUUGAUUAAAUAGCAUAAUAUAUAUUCUUUGUUUGCUCACAAAGUUGUAUUAAGUUAAUUUUGCAUCAUGUAAGGAAGAACUCAGGUUGUGUGUUGGAAUGUGGAUAGAGGUUUACCACCAUUUUGUACAGCACAGGGGCCACAUACAAGCACUCUGAAGCUGGGGUCCAUGCUCUGUCGCUUGCACAGCCCUGGGCAGAUUCCAUGAGCUCUUUGCCUUUGGCUUCUUCUUCACUCAAAAUGGGGCUGAUGGGACCACCUUACCUUAGCGGUGUAGUGUAAAGAAAUUAUACGUGUAGAGUGCUUAGUUCUAGUGUUGAUCCCAUUGGCUGGACGAAGAAGUGGAGUCUCAGAGAAAUCAGCACUAAGGUCACACGUAAUAAAUGCUUAAUGACUGGUUGAUUGCAACAGUUAAUUGGAAAGAAAUGAGUGAGGGGAAAAAAUGGCUGCUUUUCCCAGAAGCAUACAAAGUGAGUGUCGCAGAAGUGCCUGGAGUGCUGCCUCGGUAGAGAGCAGCGCGGGGAGAGGGAGGAUGUGCCGAAUCUAAAUCUCGGCUCUCCUCCUUGCCAGCUGAGGGACUGUAAGCAGGUUGCUUCACCACUCUGAGCCCAGGUUUCUCCCCAGCAGUGUCCCAGGCCUUGGGGAUAUAGCAGAGGACGCUGUAGAGUCCACACCCACAGGAGCUCACCUUCUGCCGAGGUGACUGAAAGUCCACAAGAUGGGAUGAAAACGAGAGUGUUGCCGCUGUAGCAGCAGGUGAAGACGGCAGUCUUUGCUGCCUCAGGCACACCUGAGCAGAGGCCGGCGGGCGUGCGGGCCCAGGGAGCAGCGAGAACCUGGGACCUGGGGCACAGUGGCUUGAGACUGGCCAGACACGCAGGUCUGCAAGGCCCCGAGUGACUGGAAGGUAUCUAAAGUGUGUCGUGGUGCCGGGCAGUGUAGCCGAGGAGGUGUGCUGUGCUGCGGUUCCCACUGUCACACUGUCACUCUUGGUGAGGAAGAAGAAUCAAAGUGGGAAAGUGACGAAGGGCCACUGAUGGUGGUGCCGUGGCCCCUGAGAAAGAUUUGAACAGCUGCGUGCUGGAGGUGAAUCCACAGAAACUGCUCCGGGCUCACUGGAGGUGAGGGUGAGUGGGUCCGCAGGAAAGCUCCUGAGAUUUUGUUGAAUUGGGCAGAUUUCCUCUUCACAGAGGUGGAACUUCAGCGUGAAGAACAGUUCUUAGGUGUGAGUUGGCUGCAGCAGGGAGCAUCCACAGUUCCACUUGGGGCAAAUCAAGUUUGGGGUGCUUCUGUGGCAUCCGCAUGGAGAUGAUCUUGACUGUAACUGCACAUACAAGCUGAGCCCAGAGGACAAGUCAGUGCUGGAAACGCCGUGUGGAACCGUGGAAGUGAACAGGCUCAUCCAGGGAGAGCAUGGGCCAUUUGGGGAGAGACCUGGGCUAAGCCACAGCCUGCAUCUGUGCCUACAGGUCAGCCUGCACGGAACACACAGUGGCUUCAUCCUCAGAUUGUGCAUCAUGGGCUUGCCUGUGCCCUUCUCAUGUCCUGUCCCUUACUGUGGUACACGCUUCAGUGAAGACCCCGGUACACGGAGCUUACCUGUGUUUUAAGUUGCAUAUACAUGAGGUCAAGGAAGGAAGAUGUGGCUAGAGAUUUUCUCAGCAAAGUGUUUAGAUUAGAAAAGAAAGGGCACUUCCAAAUCCCAGUGGUGAUUGUCAGUGAAGAUAAUUAGUAAUUCUGACCAAACCUCACCGAAGACAACGAAAAACAGGCCAGGAUAUUUAAAAACCACCGUCUGAAGGCUUGGAGCACUAGCAGGGCACACAGGGCCUUGAGGAGCCCCUCUUUCUUUACUUAGGAUGCCAGAGGGCUGCACUAGAGCACCUGUGAGCCAGAGCAAGCUCUCCAUUUCUGAUUAUUCAGUCCCAGAGAUUGUGAGGUGGCCCUGGGGUGUGGUGACAUCUGGUGUUGGGCCUCAGUCCCAGGUAACAGGCAACAUAGUAAGUCCUGUGGAAGAAGACAAGUCCUCGGGUCCUAAAUUAAUUUUUCAUGUGACAGAAUCCAGUGCAGAUUCCUGAGCUGGAAAAAAUGAAAAAUAUAACCAGAAGUGAGGCAUCAGUAUACGAGAUCAGCCAGAAAAGAGAAAUAGUGAAUGGAAGAUGAGCGGCUGGCUAGGGGAGCAGGCCCUGGAGAAGGCGGAAGGCGGGAAAGGGACACGGGGGAGACAGAAGUCUAGUGCUGCCGUCUGGAGUCUGAGGAGAGGAAGGGUGUUUUCACUCCUAGCAGUAACAGCUGAGUGUCCCCUGAGGGCCACAGCAGGGGAGCCUACACGAGCACCCGGGAGCCAGUUCCUCCAGCAAACCCAGGAUUGAUGAUGAGCCAGCCACGUGAGGGGGAAGCUCGUUCCCAGGGAUUGGUCAUUCUUUUCUUUCCCCACCACCAGCCAUCUUGUCCAGUGACUGUCUCUGAAUCUCGUCUACACAAAGGCUGGGGCCACCGUGCAGUCAGCGUGCAGUGCUCGGAGCCACCAGUGCUCCCGAGUGUGAGCUCCGUGUGGUCUAGACAGGCAGGGCCUGUCCCUCGCUGAGUGCUUACAUACCCAGGGCACCAUCCUCAGCUCACAGCACAAACACACCCUCCUCCAGUAGUACGUGGGCUGAGGAGGUACUGCAGUUUGUGGGGGAGAGCAGGUGUUUGUCUCUUUGGGGUAAAGCAAAUGUAUAUUUUUUCUCAGCAUAGACAGAUAAGCUCUUGCAAGUAACGUGUAUUUAUCCCAGCAAUAUAAACAAACACGUUUAUAAUUUUGGCCGGCUUUUGGGGAAGAAAAAAAAAAAAAACAUGAUUUUUGCCUGUUUUGUAGGCAAAUAUUCUUUUGAGCAAUUCCAGAUUAGCAUGUUUCCAAGCACAGGGGCAUUUUGGCAGGUGUCAUAGACUGAAUUGCCACCACCCAAAUUCAUGUUGAAGUCCUCACUCCUAGGACCUCAGAAUGAAACAGAUUGAGCUGUUUAUUUAGCAGUAGGUUUUUAAAGAAGUCACUAAGUUAAAUGAGGUGGACCCUUAUCGUGGUGGUGGUUCUAAUCCAGGGUAAUUGGUGCCCCCCUAUAAAAACGGGAGAUCUGGACACGUGGUGAGAAGGAGGCUGCGUGAGGACACGGGGAGGAUGGCCAGCUACAGGCCCAGCAGAGGGGCCUCAGAAGAAACCAGCCCUGCCUCCAGCUGAUCUGGAGACCUCCUGUCUCCAGGGCCGAGAACAAACUCCUACUGCUCAGGCGCUCAGUGUGUGGAGCAUCAAGGGGCAGCCCUAGCACACAGUGCAGCAGGAACUCAUUUGCAGGUUCAAGCCCAGCAGGUCAAUUGGUUUGAAGGUUUGCUGCACAAAUCACCACAGAGCAGAAGCAGUUCAGAAGGGAUCAGCAGAGAGUUUUCCAUAACCCGGGAGCGACAUCUAGC
RNAcentral lists this long non-coding RNA (3698 nucleotides) under Marmota monax (woodchuck). Lineage: Eukaryota; Metazoa; Chordata; Mammalia; Rodentia; Sciuridae. The record is from RNAcentral.